GACGAACGCUGGCGGCGUGCUUAACACAUGCAAGUCGAACGGAAAGGCCCUGCGUUUGUUGGGUGCUCGAGUGGCGAACGGGUGAGUAACACGUGAGUAACCUGCCCUUGACUUUGGGAUAACUUCAGGAAACUGGGGCUAAUACCGGAUAGGAGCUCCUGCUGCAUGGGGGGGGUUGGAAAGUGUCGGCGGUUGUGGAUGGACUCGCUGCUUAUGAGCUUGAUGGUGUGGUAGUGGCUUACCAAGGCUUUGACGGGUAGCCGGCCUGAGAGGGUGACCGGCCACAUUGGGACUGAGAUACGGCCCAGACUCCUACGGGAGGCAGCAGUGGGGAAUAUUGCACAAUGGGCGGAAGCCUGAUGCAGCAACGCCGCGUGCGUGAUGACGUCCUUCGGGUUGUAAACAGCUUUCGCCUGUGCCGAAGCGUGCGUGACGGUAAUGGGUAAAGAAGCACCGGCUAACUACGUG
Molecule: ribosomal RNA, 468 nt
Filed under: uncultured bacterium
Lineage: Bacteria
Description: partial 16S ribosomal RNA
Rfam family: Bacterial small subunit ribosomal RNA
Source: RNAcentral